AUGGAGAUGGAAGAUUCUCUAAUGCCAGGCCGUCUGGUAACACUUGGUUGCAAGAAUCUUGAAAAGGGGGAGACCUAUUGUUUGAGCUUGGUUUUCCUUGUUACCCUUUUAAAAGGUGUCCAGUGUGAGGUGCAGCUGGUGGAGUUUGGGGGAGGCUUGGCACAGCCUGGAAAUUUCCUAAAACUCUCUUGUGCAGCCUCUGGAUUUACUUUCAGUAGCUAUUUCAUGAAUUGGUUCCACCAGUCUCCAGGGAAGGGGCUGGAGUGGGUUGCUGAAACUAGAAACAAAGCUAAUAAUUGUGCAACAUACUAUGCGGAGUCUGUGAAAGGCAGAUUCACCGUCUCAAGAGAUGAUUCCAAAAGCAGCGUCUACCUGCAAAUGAGCAGGUUAAGAGCCAAAGACAUCGCCAUUUAUUACUGUGCAAGACACAGUGAACGAUCUUCAGUGUGA
Molecule: non-coding RNA, 450 nt
Organism: Peromyscus maniculatus bairdii (prairie deer mouse)
Lineage: Eukaryota; Metazoa; Chordata; Mammalia; Rodentia; Cricetidae
Source: the annotation of a RefSeq genome assembly